CCUACGGGGGGCAGCAGUGGGGAAUAUUGGACAAUGGGCGAAAGCCUGAUCCAGCCAUGCCGCGUGUGUGAAGAAGGCCUUCGGGUUGUAAAGCACUUUCAGUGGGGAAGAAAGCCUUGGGGCUAAUACCCUCGAGGAAGGACAUCACCCACAGAAGAAGCACCGGCUAACUCCGUGCCAGCAGCCGCGGUAAUACGGAGGGUGCGAGCGUUAAUCGGAAUUACUGGGCGUAAAGCGCGCGUAGGCGGUCUGAUAAGCCGGUUGUGAAAGCCCCGGGCUCAACCUGGGAACGGCAUCCGGAACUGUCAGGCUAGGGUGCAGGAGAGGAAGGUAGAAUUCCCGGUGUAGCGGUGAAAUGCGUAGAGAUCGGGAGGAAUACCAGUGGCGAAGGCGGCCUUCUGGACUGACACUGACGCUGAGGUGCGAAAGCGUGGGUAGCAAACAGGAUUAGAUACCCGAGUGUC
This 464-nucleotide ribosomal RNA is filed under the name Vreelandella stevensii. RNAcentral describes it as "partial 16S ribosomal RNA". It matches the Rfam family "Bacterial small subunit ribosomal RNA", at positions 338 to 795 of the family's 1533-position model. The record is from RNAcentral. Lineage: Bacteria; Pseudomonadati; Pseudomonadota; Gammaproteobacteria; Oceanospirillales; Halomonadaceae.